UGGGGAAUAUUGGACAAUGGGCGAAAGCCUGAUCCAGCCAUGCCGCGUGUGUGAAGAAGGCCUUCGGGUUGUAAAGCACUUUCAGUGAGGAAGAACGCCUCUGGCCUAAUACGUCAGAGGGAAGACAUCACUCACAGAAGAAGCACCGGCUAACUCCGUGCCAGCAGCCGCGGUAAUACGGAGGGUGCGAGCGUUAAUCGGAAUUACUGGGCGUAAAGCGCGCGUAGGUGGCUUGAUAAGCCGGUUGUGAAAGCCCCGGGCUCAACCUGGGAAUGGCAUCCGGAACUGUCAGGCUAGAGUGCAGGAGAGGAAGGUAGAAUUCCCGGUGUAGCGGUGAAAUGCGUAGAGAUCGGGAGGAAUACCAGUGGCGAAGGCGGCCUUCUGGACUGACACUGACACUGAGGUGCGAAAGCGUGGGUAGCAAACAGG
RNAcentral lists this ribosomal RNA (429 nucleotides) under uncultured bacterium. Its description in RNAcentral is "bacterial SSU rRNA". It matches the Rfam family "Bacterial small subunit ribosomal RNA", at positions 355 to 776 of the family's 1533-position model. The record is from RNAcentral.